This 492-nucleotide ribosomal RNA is filed under the name uncultured bacterium. RNAcentral describes it as "partial 16S ribosomal RNA". It matches the Rfam family "Bacterial small subunit ribosomal RNA", at positions 29 to 507 of the family's 1533-position model. The record is from RNAcentral.
AGUGAACGCUGGCGGUAGGCCUAACACAUGCAAGUCGAACGGCAGCACAGUAAGAGCUUGCUCUUACGGGUGGCGAGUGGCGGACGGGUGAGGAAUACAUCGGAAUCUACUUUUUCGUGGGGGGUAACGUAGGGAAACUUACGCUAAUACCGCAUACGACCUACGGGUGAAAGCAGGGGAUCUUCGGACCUUGCGCGAUUGAAUGAGCCGAUGUCGGAUUAGCUAGUUGGCGGGGUAAAGGCCCACCAAGGCGACGAUCCGUAGCUGGUCUGAGAGGAUGAUCAGCCACACUGGAACUGAGACACGGUCCAGACUCCUACGGGAGGCAGCAGUGGGGAAUAUUGGACAAUGGGCGCAAGCCUGAUCCAGCUAUACCGCGUGGGUGAAGAAGGCCUUCGGGUUGUAAAGCCCUUUUGUUGGGAAAGAAAAGCAGCAGGUUAAUACCCCGCUGUUCUGACGGUACCCAAAGAAUAAGCACCGGCUAACUUCGUG